UACGUAGGUGGCAAGCGUUGUCCGGAUUUACUGGGUGUAAAGGGCGUGCAGCCGGGCUGACAAGUCAGAUGUGAAAUCCCGCGGCUCAGCCGCGGAACUGCAUUUGAAACUGUCAGUCUUGAGUACCGGAGAGGUCAUCGGAAUUCCUUGUGUAGCGGUGAAAUGCGUAGAUAUAAGGAAGAACACCAGUGGCGAAGGCGGAUGACUGGACGGCAACUGACGGUGAGGCGCGAAAGCGUGGGGAGCAAACAGG
Molecule: ribosomal RNA, 253 nt
Filed under: uncultured bacterium
Lineage: Bacteria
Description: partial 16S ribosomal RNA
Rfam family: Bacterial small subunit ribosomal RNA
Source: RNAcentral